CCUACGGGAGGCAGCAGUGGGGAAUAUUGGGCAAUGGACGCAAGUCUGACCCAGCAACGCAGCGUGAAGGAAGAAGGCCCUCGGGUUGUAAACCUUCUUUAAGGGGGAAGAGCAGAAGACGGUACCUCUUGAAUAAGCCACGGCUAACUACGGGCCAGCAGCCGCGGUAGUACGUAGGGGGCAAGCGUUGUCCGGAUUUACUGGGUGUAAAGGGCGUGCAGCCGGAGAGACAAGUCAGAUGUGAAAUCCACGGGCUCAACUCGUGAACUGCAUUUGAAACUGUUUCCCUUGAGUGUCGGAGAGGUAAUCGGAAUUCCUUGUGUAGCGGUGAAAUGCGUAGAUAUAAGGAAGAACACCAGUGGCGAAGGCGGAUUACUGGACGAUAACUGACGGUGAGGCGCGAAAGCGUGGGGAGCAAACAGGAUUAGAUACCCCUGUAGUC
RNAcentral lists this ribosomal RNA (442 nucleotides) under uncultured bacterium. RNAcentral's name for it is "partial 16S ribosomal RNA". It matches the Rfam family "Bacterial small subunit ribosomal RNA", at positions 338 to 795 of the family's 1533-position model. The record is from RNAcentral.